GUCCUAGCCGUAAACGAUGGAUACUAGGUGUGGGAGGUAUCGACCCCUUCCGUGCCGGAGUUAACGCAAUAAGUAUCCCGCCUGGGGAGUACGGCCGCAAGGUUGAAACUCAAAGGAAUUGACGGGGGCCCGCACAAGCGGUGGAGUAUGUGGUUUAAUUCGACGCAACGCGAAGAACCUUACCAAGACUUGACAUUGAUUGAAAGGCUUAGAGAUAGGUCCCUGAACUUCGGUUCACAAGAAAACAGGUGGUGCAUGGCUGUCGU
RNAcentral lists this ribosomal RNA (266 nucleotides) under uncultured bacterium. RNAcentral describes it as "partial 16S ribosomal RNA". It matches the Rfam family "Bacterial small subunit ribosomal RNA", at positions 793 to 1055 of the family's 1533-position model. The record is from RNAcentral.